This 246-nucleotide unclassified non-coding RNA is filed under the name plant metagenome. RNAcentral describes it as "partial contains small subunit ribosomal RNA, internal transcribed spacer 1, and 5.8S ribosomal RNA". The stretch from base 1 to 53 matches the Rfam family "Eukaryotic small subunit ribosomal RNA", at positions 1778 to 1831 of the family's 1831-position model. The record is from RNAcentral.
GGAAGUAAAAGUGUAACAAGGUCUCCGUUGGUGAACCAGCGGAGGGAUCAUUACAGGACUCGCAAGACUCCUACAACCCUGUGAACUUAACUAUAAGCACGUUGCUUCGGCGGGUGUCUCGGAGGGGGUUCUCCCUCCCCGAGACGCUAAACCCGCCGGCAGCCUACUAUACUCUGUCUCUUUGCGUUGGCAUCUCGAGUACAAUCAAACAAGUUAAAACUUUCAACAACGGAUCUCUUGGUUCUG